RNAcentral lists this ribosomal RNA (414 nucleotides) under uncultured microorganism. RNAcentral's name for it is "bacterial SSU rRNA". It matches the Rfam family "Archaeal small subunit ribosomal RNA", at positions 459 to 872 of the family's 1478-position model. The record is from RNAcentral.
CAGCCGCCGCGGUAAUACCGGCGGCCCGAGUGGUGGCCGCUAUUAUUGGGCUUAAAGCGUCCGUAGCCGGGUUGGGAAGUCCUCCGGGAAAUCUGGCCGCUUAACGGUCAGAAUGCCGGAGGAUACUCCCAGCCUAGGGAGCGGGAGAGGCCGAGGGUAUUCCCGGAGUAGGGGUGAAAUCCUAUAAUCCCGGGAGGACCACCUGUGGCGAAGGCGGUCGGCUGGAACGCGUCCGACGGUGAGGGACGAAGGCCAGGGGAGCAAACCGGAUUAGAUACCCGGGUAGUCCUGGCUGUAAACGAUGCGGACUUUGUGUCGGACAAGCUAUGAGCUUGUCCGGUGCCGGAGGGAAACCGUUAAGUCCGCCGCCUGGGGAGUACGGCCGCAAGGCUGAAACUUAAAGGAAUUGGCGGG